ACCAGACUCCUACGGGAGGCAGCAGUGGGGAAUAUUGGACAAUGGGGGGAACCCUGAUCCAGCGACGCCGCGUGAGUGAAGAAGUAUUUCGGUAUGUAAAGCUCUAUCAGCAGGGAAGAAAAUGACGGUACCUGACUAAGAAGCCCCGGCUAACUACGUGCCAGCAGCCGCGGCAAUACGGAGGGGGCAAGCGUUAUCCGGAUUUACUGGGUGUAAAGGGAGCGUAGACGGUGCAGCAAGUCUGAUGUGAAAGGUCGGGGCCCAACCCCGGGACUGCAUUGGAAACUGUUGAACUGGAGUACAGGAGAGGUAAGCGGAAUUCCUAGUGUAGCGGUGAAAUGCGUAGAUAUUAGGAGGAACACCAGUGGCGGAGGCGGCUUACUGGACUGUAACUGACGUUGAGGCUCGAAAGCGUGGGGAGCAAA
This 425-nucleotide ribosomal RNA is filed under the name uncultured bacterium. RNAcentral describes it as "bacterial SSU rRNA". It matches the Rfam family "Bacterial small subunit ribosomal RNA", at positions 330 to 772 of the family's 1533-position model. The record is from RNAcentral.